This 77-nucleotide transfer RNA is filed under the name Desulfobulbaceae bacterium. Its description in RNAcentral is "tRNA-Arg". It matches the Rfam family "tRNA". Rfam says of the family: Transfer RNA (tRNA) molecules are approximately 80 nucleotides in length. The record is from RNAcentral. Lineage: Bacteria; Pseudomonadati; Thermodesulfobacteriota; Desulfobulbia; Desulfobulbales; Desulfobulbaceae.
GCGCCCGUGGCUCAGUUGGAUAGAGCAACGGCCUUCUAAGCCGUGGGUCGCAGGUUCAAAUCCUGCCGGGCGCGCCA